This 555-nucleotide ribosomal RNA is filed under the name uncultured bacterium. Its description in RNAcentral is "partial 16S ribosomal RNA". The record is from RNAcentral.
GGAGUUAGCCGGUGCUUCUUCUGUGAGUGAUGUCCUUCCUGCCGGCUAUUAACCCGCAGGCCUUCUUCCUCACUGAAAGUGCUUUACAACCCGAAGGCCUUCUUCACACACGCGGCAUGGCUGGAUCAGGGUUGCCCCCAUUGUCCAAUAUUCCCCACUGCUGCCUCCCGUAGGAGUCUGGGCCGUGUCUCAGUCCCAGUGUGGCUGAUCAUCCUCUCAGACCAGCUACGGAUCGUCGCCUUGGUGAGCCGUUACCUCACCAACCAGCUAAUCCGACAUAGGCUCAUCCGAUAGCGCGAGGCCCGAAGGUCCCCCGCUUUCCCCCGUAGGGCGUAUGCGGUAUUAGCCUGGGUUUCCCCAGGUUAUCCCCCACUACCGGGCAGAUUCCUAUGCAUUACUCACCCGUCCGCCGCUCGCCACCAGGGAGCAAGCUCCCCGUGCUGCCGCUCGACUUGCAUGUGUAGCGUCGCCGCCACGCGUCACUCUGACGACGAGACUAACUAACUACGUACGUACGUAGACGGGCGGUCGGUCGGACGGACGGACGACGUAGAG